GGGGUGAGGACAGUGUCUGGUGGGUAGUUUGACUGGGGCGGUCUCCUCCCAAAGAGUAACGGAGGAGCACGAAGGUUAGCUAAUCACGGUCGGACAUCGUGAGGUUAGUGCAAAGGCAUAAGCUAGCUUGACUGCGAGAGUGACGGCUCGAGCAGGUACGAAAGUAGGUCUUAGUGAUCCGGUGGUUCUGAAUGGAAGGGCCAUCGCUCAACGGAUAAAAGGUACUCCGGGGAUAACAGGCUGAUACCGCCCAAGAGUUCAUAUCGACGGCGGUGUUUGGCACCUCGAUGUCGGCUCAUCACAUCCUGGGGCUGAAGUAGGUCCCAAGGGUAUGGCUGUUCGCCAUUUAAAGUGGUACGCGAGCUGGGUUUAGAACGUCGUGAGACAGUUCGGUCCCUAUCUGCCGUGGGCGUUGGAAGAUUGAGAGGGGUUGCUCCUAGUACGAGAGGACCGGAGUGAACGCACCACUGGUGUUCGGGUUGUCAUGCCAAUGGCAUUGCCCGGUAGCUAAGUGCGGAAAAGAUAAGCGCUGAAAGCAUCUAAGCGCGAAACUUGCCUCAAGAUGAGUCUUCCCU
RNAcentral lists this ribosomal RNA (575 nucleotides) under Serratia marcescens. RNAcentral describes it as "partial 23S ribosomal RNA". It matches the Rfam family "Bacterial large subunit ribosomal RNA", at positions 2242 to 2816 of the family's 2925-position model. The record is from RNAcentral. RNAcentral also lists the same sequence under 8 other names. Lineage: Bacteria; Pseudomonadati; Pseudomonadota; Gammaproteobacteria; Enterobacterales; Yersiniaceae.